Molecule: long non-coding RNA, 314 nt
Filed under: Physcomitrium patens
Lineage: Eukaryota; Viridiplantae; Streptophyta; Bryopsida; Funariales; Funariaceae
Description: long non-coding RNA (PPAT_LNC011880)
Source: RNAcentral
UAAAUCGCUCAGGCUCGGCGCGGGGCGGGGCGUGCCCUGGGAGUCAUUCUCUCAUGUUCUUGCACCAUCUCUAUCGCCAGAUCUCCGCAUUCCUAGUCUGACCUCUCUCUCUGCUUUCCUCAACCUCCAUCUCUGCCUCCCUCGACCUCCAUCUCUGCCUCCCUCGACCUCACUCACUCUCCACCCCAUCUCUCCCUCUCUCUCUCCCUCUGUGUCGCUCUGUGUCUCACGCUGUCCUGGUUUCGCUCACUCUUCUGGUCUUUUCCUCUCCAGAUAUUGGUGGGGGAGGUUUGACGAUGUGGGGGUCUUUUUUG